AGGCCAGUAGCUCUAAUGGUAGAGCAUCGGACUCCAAAUCCGAGGGCUGGGGGUUCGAAUCCCUCCUGGCCUGCCA
RNAcentral lists this transfer RNA (76 nucleotides) under Desulfobulbaceae bacterium. RNAcentral's name for it is "tRNA-Trp". It matches the Rfam family "tRNA". From Rfam's summary of the family: Transfer RNA (tRNA) molecules are approximately 80 nucleotides in length. Their secondary structure includes four short double-helical elements and three loops (D, anti-codon, and T loops). The record is from RNAcentral. Lineage: Bacteria; Pseudomonadati; Thermodesulfobacteriota; Desulfobulbia; Desulfobulbales; Desulfobulbaceae. RNAcentral also lists the same sequence under 2 other names.